RNAcentral lists this transfer RNA (76 nucleotides) under Alphaproteobacteria bacterium. RNAcentral describes it as "tRNA-Val". It matches the Rfam family "tRNA". From Rfam's summary of the family: Transfer RNA (tRNA) molecules are approximately 80 nucleotides in length. Their secondary structure includes four short double-helical elements and three loops (D, anti-codon, and T loops). Further hydrogen bonds mediate the characteristic L-shaped molecular structure. tRNAs have two regions of fundamental functional importance: the anti-codon, which is responsible for specific mRNA codon recognition, and the 3' end, to which the tRNAs corresponding amino acid is attached (by aminoacyl-tRNA synthetases). tRNAs cope with the degeneracy of the genetic code in two manners: having more than one tRNA (with a specific anti-codon) for a particular amino acid; and 'wobble' base-pairing, i.e. permitting non-standard base-pairing at the 3rd anti-codon position. The record is from RNAcentral. Lineage: Bacteria; Pseudomonadati; Pseudomonadota; Alphaproteobacteria.
AGGCGCGUAGCUCAGUGGCAGAGCGCUGCCUUUACACGGCAGAGGUCGGAGGUUCGAAUCCUGCCCGCGCCUACCA